Molecule: long non-coding RNA, 303 nt
Organism: Saccostrea echinata
Lineage: Eukaryota; Metazoa; Mollusca; Bivalvia; Ostreida; Ostreidae
Exons: 3
Source: RefSeq, a predicted model, not a curated record
AAGAGAACCAAAAAAGCGCGUCCGAACAUUGUUUCCAGAAACCUGGUUUUGGUUAAAUAAAACAGCAAGCGCGGACGGUAUGACGUCACUAAGUAUUCCUGUACCUGAUACUAUUACUACCUGGGUCGCUACAGCUUUUGCUGUCAACCCUAACUCUGGACUGGGACUGGACCCGUCUCCUGCUAACGUUAGAGUGUUUCAGCCUUUCUUUGUGAGUCUGACUUUGCCGUACUCCGUUACACGGGGGGAACUUGUGGUUAUCCAAGCUAAUGUGUUUAACUAUCUGAAAAAAGACAUCAAGGU